CUCGUAGGCGGUUUGUCACGUCGGGAGUGAAAACACGGAGCUUAACUCCGUGCCUGCUUCCGAUACGGGCUGACUAGAGGUAUGCAGGGGAGAACGGAAUUCCUGGUGUAGCGGUGAAAUGCGCAGAUAUCAGGAGGAACACCGGUGGCGAAGGCGGUUCUCUGGGCAUUACCUGACGCUGAGGAGCGAAAGUGUGGGGAGCGAACA
This 207-nucleotide ribosomal RNA is filed under the name uncultured bacterium. RNAcentral describes it as "partial 16S ribosomal RNA". It matches the Rfam family "Bacterial small subunit ribosomal RNA", at positions 568 to 774 of the family's 1533-position model. The record is from RNAcentral.